Molecule: small RNA, 608 nt
Filed under: Pongo abelii (Sumatran orangutan)
Lineage: Eukaryota; Metazoa; Chordata; Mammalia; Primates; Hominidae
Description: processed transcript
Source: RNAcentral
GGCUGCAGCCGGUGCUGAAGGAGGCGGCUCCGGGCGAGCGCGGGGCGGGGCCUGGGGGCGGGGACGCGGUGGGCGCGCUGUGGCCUGGACAUCCCCGCUGCUGGUCUCAGUCGGGGACCCAGCGCCCGGCUCUGGCCCAGUCUCAAGAAGCCGGACUUGGGCGUUUCUGGCCAACGUCUGCAGAGAAGCACAGACUUUUACAAAGCUUGAUCAUUUAUACGUUAACCUCAAGUAUUGUACAGUCAUGGUUGUAUUCAGAUUUCACCAAGUGUCAUUGAACCAACUUUAAAGGAUCUAGUGAAAAGCCAUUUGAUGUAUGCGGUCAGAGAAGAAGUGGAGGUCCUCAAAGAGCAAAUCAAAGAACUAAUAGAGAAAAAUUCCCAGCUGGAGCAGGAGAACAAUCUGCUGAAGACACUGGCCAGUCCUGAGCAGCUUGCCCAGUUUCAGGCCCAGCUGCAGACUGGCUCCCCGCCUGCCACCACCCAGCCACAGGGCACCACACAGCCCCCCGCCCAGCCAGCAUCGCAGGGCUCAGGACCAACCGCAUAGCUGCCUAUGCCCCCGCAGAACUGGCUGCUGCGUGUGAACUGAACAGACGGAGAAGAUGU